This 674-nucleotide small RNA is filed under the name Pongo abelii (Sumatran orangutan). Its description in RNAcentral is "processed transcript". The record is from RNAcentral. Lineage: Eukaryota; Metazoa; Chordata; Mammalia; Primates; Hominidae.
AUCUACUUUCUACAGUCUGUGGAGACAGGGACAAUGAAGCCUUUGAAGUGCCAGUCUAUGAAGAGGCCGUGGUGGGACUAGAAUCCCAGUGCCGCCCCCAAGAGUUGGACCAACCACCCCCCUACAGCACUGUUGUGAUACCCCCAGCACCUGAGGAGGAACAACCUAGCCAUCCAGAGGGGUCCAGGAGAGCCGAACUGGAACAGAGGCGAAUGGCCUCAGAGGGGUCUAUGGCCCAGGAAGGAAGCCCUGGAAGAGCUCCAAUCAACCUUCGGCUUCGGGGACCACGGGCUGUGUCCACUGCUCCUGAUCUGCGGAGCUUGGGAGCAGUCCCCAGAUUAGAGCCUCUGACUCCACCCCCUGCCUAUGAUGUCUGCCUUGGUCACCCUGAUGAUGACAGUGUUUUUUAUGAAGACAACUGGGCACCCCCUUAAAUGACUCUCCCAAGAUUUCUCUUCUCUCCACACCAGACCUCUUUCAUUUGACUAACAUUUUCCAGCGCCUACUAUGUGUCACAAACUAUGUUUCUGCCUGGACAUCAUAAAUGGGGACUUGGACCCCGAGGAGAGUCAGGCCACGGUAAGCCCUUCCCAGCUGAGAUAUGGGUGGCAUAAUUUGAGUCUUCUGGCAACAUUUGGUGACCUACCCCAUAUCCAAUAUUUCCAGCGUUAGAU